CCUACGGGUGGCAGCAGUGGGGAAUAUUGCACAAUGGGCGCAAGCCUGAUGCAGCCAUGCCGCGUGUGUGAAGAAGGCCUUCGGGUUGUAAAGCACUUUCAGCGGGGAGGAAGGCGUUAAGGUUAAUAACCUUGUCGAUUGACGUUACCCGCAGAAGAAGCACCGGCUAACUCCGUGCCAGCAGCCGCGGUAAUACGGAGGGUGCAAGCGUUAAUCGGAAUUACUGGGCGUAAAGCGCACGCAGGCGGUCUGUCAAGUCGGAUGUGAAAUCCCCGGGCUCAACCUGGGAACUACAUUCGAAACUGGCAGGCUAGAGUCUUGUAGAGGGGGGUAGAAUUCCAGGUGUAGCGGUGAAAUGCGUAGAGAUCUGGAGGAAUACCGGUGGCGAAGGCGGCCCCCUGGACAAAGAUUGACGCUCAGGUGCGAAAGCGUGGGGAGCAAACAGGAUUAGAUACCCGGGUAGUC
This 465-nucleotide ribosomal RNA is filed under the name uncultured Klebsiella sp. Its description in RNAcentral is "bacterial SSU rRNA". It matches the Rfam family "Bacterial small subunit ribosomal RNA", at positions 338 to 795 of the family's 1533-position model. The record is from RNAcentral. Lineage: Bacteria; Pseudomonadati; Pseudomonadota; Gammaproteobacteria; Enterobacterales; Enterobacteriaceae.